GUGGGGAAUCUUGCGCAAUGCGCGAAAGCGUGACGCAGCAACGCCGCGUGGGGGAAGAAGGCCUUCGGGUUGUAAACCCCUUUCAGGAGGGACGAAGCCCGGGCGGUGAAUAGCCGACUCGGGUGACGGUACCUCCAGAAGAAGCCCCGGCUAACUACGUGCCAGCAGCCGCGGUAAUACGUAGGGGGCAAGCGUUGUCCGGAAUUAUUGGGCGUAAAGAGCGUGUAGGCGGUCCGGUUAGUCGGCUGUGAAAGUCAAGGGCUCAACCCUUGAAUGCCGGUCGAUACUGCCGGACUAGAGUUCGGAAGAGGCGAGUGGAAUUCCCGGUGUAGCGGUGAAAUGCGCAGAUAUCGGGAGGAACACCUAUGGCGAAGGCAGCUCGCUGGGACGAGACUGACGCUGAGACGCGAAAGCGUGGGGAGCAAACAGGAUUAGAUACCCUGGUAGUCCACGCCGUAAACGAUGGGCACUAGGUGUGGGAGGUGUCGACUCCUCCCGUGCCGCAGCUAACGCAUUAAGUGCCCCGCCUGGGGAGUACGGCCGCAAGGC
This 549-nucleotide ribosomal RNA is filed under the name uncultured bacterium. RNAcentral describes it as "bacterial SSU rRNA". It matches the Rfam family "Bacterial small subunit ribosomal RNA", at positions 354 to 894 of the family's 1533-position model. The record is from RNAcentral.